GUGGGGAAUAUUGGACAAUGGGCGAAAGCCUGAUCCAGCCAUGCCGCGUGUGUGAAGAAGGUCUUCGGAUUGUAAAGCACUUUAAGUUGGGAGGAAGGGCAGUAAGUUAAUACCUUGCUGUUUUGACGUUACCGACAGAAUAAGCACCGGCUAACUUCGUGCCAGCAGCCGCGGUAAUACGAAGGGUGCAAGCGUUAAUCGGAAUUACUGGGCGUAAAGCGCGCGUAAGUGGUUUUGUAAGUUGGAGGUGAAAUCCCCGGGCUCAACCUGGGAACUGCCUCCAAAACUGCAUGACUAGAGUACGGUAGAGGGUAGUGGAAUUUCCUGUGUAGCGGUGAAAUGCGUAGAUAUAGGAAGGAACACCAGUGGCGAAGGCGACUACCUGGACUGAUACUGACACUGAGGUGCGAAAGCAUGGGGAGCAAACAGGAUUAGAUACCCGUGUAGUCC
Molecule: ribosomal RNA, 450 nt
Filed under: uncultured bacterium
Lineage: Bacteria
Description: partial 16S ribosomal RNA
Rfam family: Bacterial small subunit ribosomal RNA
Source: RNAcentral